AUAAUGAUACUUCCGUAAUUCGCGGCCCGGCCAUAAAGAAGGCGGGGAGGGGUAGUGCCCUAUGA
This 65-nucleotide non-coding RNA is filed under the name unclassified sequences. Its description in RNAcentral is "pemK RNA". It matches the Rfam family "pemK RNA". The record is from RNAcentral.